AAACGACACAAACUCCAUGUGGUGAUGGAUGCAACUGAGCCCAGCCUCCUGUAGGGUUUGCGUCUGCCAUCGGGAUGAGAACCGGCGGCCAUGGCGGCUUGCGGGGCAAAGGAAGGAUUGGAAGACAAUCAAUCUGGAGGGUGUGUGGGACUUUAUGCAGAGGGGCGUCCACAUGCUCAUCAACAUUCUCGAUGGCCAGAGCCCGAGCACAACUUUGAGUACUACAUGAUGCAUCUGAAGAUUCUGAACAUGUUAGUGAUGGCUGGCUUUCCUACAUUUGUCGAUUUUAAAUUCAGUUAAACAAGAUAGUAUGUAUUUCAAAGACGUGUGCUUGCAUGGGUUUGAUACUUCCCUUUAUAACCGAUUGCAUAGGAAAACAAGAUCAGAGCAUAAUUCUACUUGGCAUUGGUGGCUGGGGUCAACAGGUUCAGUGAUUGUUCUUAUACUUUUGGUA
Triticum dicoccoides is the source of this 454-nucleotide long non-coding RNA. RefSeq lists it as uncharacterized. The transcript has 3 exons. Lineage: Eukaryota; Viridiplantae; Streptophyta; Magnoliopsida; Poales; Poaceae. The record is from RefSeq and is a predicted model, not a curated record.